CCGAUGUCAUACAAAAACAUGACGUUAGAACCGUAUCUCGAACGAACGGCGCCGCGAUGGUCGGGUACCUAGAAAGCUAGGUUUUCAAAGACACUCGCCCGACCUUCCGGCAUAGAGGGCGCAUAAUAAUUUAUUGUUAUGCGUCCCGCCCGUUAGAGGAGAAAAUUCGAAAUGGCAUCCCACGAUCAACGUAUCGAUGGCGAGAAUAAAUAAAUAAAUUGAGUAAUUUCCUAGACGGUGGAUCACUCGGCUCGUGGAUCGAUGAAGAACGCAGCAAAAUGCGCGUCGAAGUGUGAACUGCAGGACACAUGAACAUCGACGUUUCGAACGCCCAUUGCGGCCCACGGAUUCUGUUCCCGGGCCACGCCUGGCUGAGGGCCGGCUAUCGAUACUAAGUGGUUGGGCUCGUUCCCAACCGAGCGGAGCGAUCGCCUUCGCGUGCCUUCGGGCAUUGCGUUGGCCUUAGCCGUCUCGCAGACACUCCCGCCGCUGCGGCGUUCAAUUUUUUUGAAGCCGCCGUACGCGUUCCGGAUGGAAAAUAGCGGGUGCCGUAGAGCUUACGCUUCUGUAUGGCGGCAUGCUCGGCACUUCGCUUUCCGUUUCGGCUUCCGUGCGGCGGCUGUGCGCUGCACGCUGGCGGGGCUCGAGAAGUCUUGAGAAUAUCAUUAAUGCCGACCUCAGAGCAGACGAGGACUACCCGCCG
Molecule: ribosomal RNA, 703 nt
Filed under: Aeshna cyanea (spangled skimmer)
Lineage: Eukaryota; Metazoa; Arthropoda; Insecta; Odonata; Aeshnidae
Description: eukaryotic LSU rRNA
Rfam family: 5.8S ribosomal RNA (bases 227-381)
Source: RNAcentral